GGCACCGUAGUGCAGUGGCAAGCACACUCAAUUCCCUGAGGUUCUGGGUUCGAUUCCCAGACCCGGUGCCU
Non-coding RNA from Caranx melampygus (bluefin trevally), 71 nucleotides. The record is from the annotation of a GenBank genome assembly. NCBI's taxonomy places the organism in Eukaryota, Metazoa, Chordata, Actinopteri, Carangiformes, Carangidae.